ACGCCUAACACAUGCAAGUCGAACGAAGUAGCAAUACUUAGUGGCAGACGGGUGAGUAACAUGUGGGUAUCUGCCCUUUGGCCUGGAAUAACACGAGGAAACUUGUGCUAAUACCGGAUAAGUCUUUACGGAGAAAGCUUUAUGCACCAUUGGAUGAGCCCGCACUUGAUUAGUUUGUUGGUAGGGUAAUGGCCUACCAAGACUGUGAUCAAUAGCUGAUUUGAGAGGAUGAUCAGCCACAUUGGGACUGAGACACGGCCCAAACUCCUACGGGAGGCAGCAGUGGGGAAUCUUGCACAAUGGAGGAAACUCUGAUGCAGCGAUGCCGCGUGAGUGAAGAAGGCCCUUGGGUUGUAAAGCUCUUUCGUCGGGGAAGAAAAUGACUGUACCCGAAUAAGAAGGUCCGGCUAACUUCGUGCCAGCAGCCGCGGUAAUACGAAGGGACCUAGCGUAGUUCGGAAUUACUGGGCUUAAAGAGUUCGUAGGUGGUUGAAAAAGUUGGUGGUGAAAUCCCAGAGCUUAACUCUGGAACUGCCAUCAAAACUUUUCAGCUAGAGUAUGAUAGAGGAAAGCAGAAUUUCUAGUGUAGAGGUGAAAUUCGUAGAUAUUAGAAAGAAUACCAAUUGCGAAGGCAGCUUUCUGGAUCAUUACUGACGCUGAGGAACGAAAGCAUGGGUAGCGAAGAGGAUUAGAUACCCUCGUAGUCCAUGCCGUAAACGAUGUGUGUUAGACGUUGGAAAUUUAUUUUCAGUGUCGCAGCGAAAGCGAUAAACACACCGCCUGGGGAGUACGACCG
This 796-nucleotide ribosomal RNA is filed under the name uncultured Pelagibacteraceae bacterium. Its description in RNAcentral is "bacterial SSU rRNA". It matches the Rfam family "Bacterial small subunit ribosomal RNA", at positions 44 to 888 of the family's 1533-position model. Lineage: Bacteria; Pseudomonadati; Pseudomonadota; Alphaproteobacteria; Candidatus Pelagibacterales; Candidatus Pelagibacteraceae. The record is from RNAcentral.